RNAcentral lists this transfer RNA (74 nucleotides) under Bombyx mori (domestic silkworm). Its description in RNAcentral is "tRNA-Ile (AAT) (tRNA-Ile-AAT-5-1)". It matches the Rfam family "tRNA". From Rfam's summary of the family: Transfer RNA (tRNA) molecules are approximately 80 nucleotides in length. Their secondary structure includes four short double-helical elements and three loops (D, anti-codon, and T loops). The record is from Rfam by way of RNAcentral. Lineage: Eukaryota; Metazoa; Arthropoda; Insecta; Lepidoptera; Bombycidae. RNAcentral also lists the same sequence under 1 other name.
GGCCCAUUAGCUCAGUUGGUUAGAGCAUCGUGCUAAUAACGCGAAGGUCGUGAGUUCGAUGCUCACAUGGGCCA